AAGGAUCAUUACCGAGUGUAGGGUUCCUAGCGAGCCCAACCUCCCACCCCUGUUUACUGUACCUUAGUUGCUUCGGCGGGCCCGCCAUUCAUGGCCGCCGGGGGCUCUCAGCCCCGGGCCCGCGCCCGCCGGAGACACCACGAACUCUGUCUGAUCUAGUGAAGUCUGAGUUGAUUGUAUCGCAAUCAGUUAAAACUUUCAACAAUGGAUCUCUUGGUUCCGGCAUCGAUGAAGAACGCAGCGAAAUGCGAUAACUAGUGUGAAUUGCAGAAUUCCGUGAAUCAUCGAGUCUUUGAACGCACAUUGCGCCCGCUGGUAUUCCGGGGGGCAUGCCUGUCCGAGCGUCAUUGCUGCCCAUCAAGCACGGCUUGUGUGUUGGGUCGUCGUCCCCUCUCCGGGGGGGACGGGCCCCAAAGGCAGCGGCGGCACCGCGUCCGAUCCUCGAGCGUAUGGGGCUUUGUCACCCGCUCUGUAGGCCCGGCCGGCGCUUGCCGAACGCAAAUCAAUCUUUUUCCAGGUUGACCUCGGAUCAGGUAGGGAUACCCGCUGAACUUAA
RNAcentral lists this small RNA (556 nucleotides) under Aspergillus flavus. RNAcentral's name for it is "eukaryotic LSU rRNA". The stretch from base 194 to 347 matches the Rfam family "5.8S ribosomal RNA". The record is from RNAcentral. Lineage: Eukaryota; Fungi; Ascomycota; Eurotiomycetes; Eurotiales; Aspergillaceae.